Molecule: ribosomal RNA, 459 nt
Filed under: uncultured bacterium
Lineage: Bacteria
Description: bacterial SSU rRNA
Rfam family: Bacterial small subunit ribosomal RNA
Source: RNAcentral
GAUAAACGCUGGCGGCGUGCAUGAGACAUGCAAGUCGAACGGACGGACCGGUUCGCCGGUCCGUUAGUGGCGGACGGCUGAGUAACGCGUAGGUGACCUGCCCCGAAGUGGGGAAUAACUGCCCGAAAGGGUGGCUAAUACCGCAUGUGGUCGCACGUUCGGUCGUGCGAGUAAAGCCGCAAGGCGCUUCGGGAGGGGCCUGCGUCCGAUUAGCUCGUUGGUGGGGUAAUGGCUCACCAAGGCGACGAUCGGUAGGUGGUCUGAGAGGACGAUCACCCAGACUGGGACUGAGACACGGCCCAGACUCCUACGGGAGGCAGCAGUCGGGAAUUUUGCUCAAUGGGCGAAAGCCUGAAGCAGCAACGCCGCGUGAGGGAUGAAGGCCUUCGGGUCGUAAAGCCCUUUUGGUCAGGGACGAUGAUGACGGUACCUGCAGAAUAAGCCCCGGCUAACUUCGUG